UACGGAGGGGGCUAGCGUUGUUCGGAAUUACUGGGCGUAAAGCGCGCGUAGGCGGACCUGCAAGUCGGGGGUGAAAGCCCGAGGCUCAACCUCGGAACUGCCUUCGAUACUGCGGGUCUCGAGUCCGGGAGAGGUGAGUGGAAUUCCUAGUGUAGAGGUGAAAUUCGUAGAUAUUAGGAAGAACACCAGUGGCGAAGGCGGGUCUCUGGACAGUUCCUGACGCUGAGGCACGAAGGCCAGGGGAGCAAACGGG
Molecule: ribosomal RNA, 253 nt
Filed under: uncultured bacterium
Lineage: Bacteria
Description: partial 16S ribosomal RNA
Rfam family: Bacterial small subunit ribosomal RNA
Source: RNAcentral